CUCCACUCUAUCUCUCUCAAUCUAGUAGAAACUAGAAGAUCUAUUUCUACUUUACAUUGGUUGCUAAGCCUAAAAAGAAAUAUUAUUUAGAGAAGAGGUUUUCCUUCGAGGGCACCCCUCAACUCUAUGAUAACUUCUUGUCUUCUCCAGGGGCCAGGGGGGUCUCCUUAUAUAGUCCUCCUCCUCUAUGCAUUUUUGGGUUGGUAGGCGAUGUGGUACUACGUUAUCCUUGAUCCUUUAGGUCGGUGGAACAACAUGUGCGAAGAGAGUCCUGAACGGAGUCCAGAGAUGGGCGGGCACCCAGGUCCUCAGGGCGGGCGCCCUGGGCCUGGCCCCUUUCGGCCUCUGCUUUCUUCCCGUGGCUUCUGGAGUCUUCUAGAUGGUAGAAAAUUGCGCGGUGCGUUGAUAUCUCUAUGUAAUCCCGACAUGUGGGCCUUUCUUCCGUAUUUUCUGAUAACCCCCUGCAGAAAUAGACAAACACCAAAACUCUUGGAAUUCUGUCAGAUAAAACCCUAAGCCUAGAUGUUGAUUUCAUUUGGAUCCUUUUCUUUGUUUAUUUGACAAUUAAAUUUGAUACUUAAGGACCGUCAACAAACUCCCCCAAGCUUACCUCUUGCUCGUCCCUGAGCAAGGAUGGACUCAAGAGUUUCUGCAGUGGUUUCAUGCCUUAAAGGUACACACGCAUUCAAGCAAGAUCUCAUCUCUGAGUUAGAAUAAACUGUUAAGACUUAAGACUUACUCAUUUUACCUUUCACCAUGGGGCUUGUAACCAUCACUUGUGUCUUGAGUAGUUAAAAGAUAGAACGGUCAAGUCAAGCGCCAUGUCUCUUAUUCUUGAUCAGCUAUAGCUCUGGAGUUUUUGCAGAUUUUCAAAUAAAUCUCAGAGAUUCCUUAUAUGACUCUCUCUAGUCUCUCCUUUGUGGUAUUUCUAGAUCCUUACCAAGGCAAUAAUGGUAUAUGCCUUCUCUCAAAGUAUGUGGUAUUUUUGGUAUAAUGCAUAGUGAUAUUGCUUUCUCUCUCACCCUACUCUAAUAAGGUUUUGAUAUCUGGAGCUCAUAGGUGGGAGACAGCUAAUACAUACUUACAAGACAUUUAUUGCAUAGUCAAACCAUGGAUCCAGAGAAACAAGUCAAUAAAUCAAAUCAAGAUGUGCAUGUGUGGCGAAUGAAUGGUGUAUGGUGAUGAUGGUGAUAAUAAUGGUGAAAGUCUAAUUCUACUUUUGCUCUUUUGAGGGGAUACAUACCUUUCUUGCACUUUGAAGCUUUUUGGGGAGAAUGAGAUGCUCUAUAUUUUCUUUUUAUUUCCUCUCAGGUGGGUCUCUUGUACCCCUAAUACUACUGUCGGACACUUGUCCAUUUUUACCUCUCAUCUCACUUUUUCUUUUAUUCGAGGUUCCGGGCACUUGCCCCUUUUUAUUUCCUCGUAUUAUUUUUUUUCUCUUUUUUUAGAGCACUCAUCUCCUGAAAUAAUGUAGCAAGUGGUAGUAACCAAAAUAACUGGAGCAUUUAUUCCACAGGGAAAAACAAAAAUAUUUUUGGCCAUUCUUUCCAAGAUUAGGAGUAGAAUGUUUUUGGGUGAAUCUGGAGAUGGAAAUGAGUGGAUGUAUGUGGAUGCGUACUUCCGGAGUAGAAGCAGCAUGUAUGAGUGAACACGCAAAGGAAUCUUGAUUUUAAUCACAUGACAAGCUCCUAAGGGUCUACACAGUUUGACCACACUCAAUGCUCAUAAGUAGUAAAAAGUAAAUGUGUGGCUCAAAGUCUAAUAAGCAUGUAUAAAUGGCUGUGGUAGGAUUUUAAACUCUCAUCAUACAGGAACUCAUCAUGUGAUAUUUUAAAGAUUUUUCAAAGAUAAAAUUCUCCAAAAUUCUAGCAUGUCUAAGAACAGAUAAACAGCAGCUCAACCUUCCCAUAUCAUAUCCGUUAACGACUUAGACUUUAGAUCAAGUACUCUUCCCACAAGUUCAGGUUUAGAGCAGGUUUAAAUUAUAACAGUUAUACCUAAACUUGAGAGAGAUUUCAAUUUUGACAACUAGGUACAUGGCAAAGCAACUAUUUAUCAUUUCCAUGUGAGAGUUUAUCAUGAGGGUUGAUAGCAAACUUUAUUUAUUUGUUUAGCAAACUAAGCAAAGAUAUAUAUAUAUAAAAGCACAAAAUAUUUAUUUGUGUUUUCAUGAUUAUGCAUCUUUUAUUAUUUGAGUAAAGUAUAAACGCGAGUAGAAACACUUAGCUGGAUAAAUGGGGGUGCUCUCCCCCAAGCUGGAUUUUGACGUAAUUUCUUCUGAUGUAGCUAGCAGGUGAUGGAGGUGUAUUUGAAAGUCGGCGGCACCCUGACAGCGAUUAGGAUGUCCUCCGUCUGCUAAUCUUUUUUUUAUCCUUAAAUUCUGUGGAGCUCAAAUAGACAACAAAGCUUUGUGGAACUGGUUAAGUGUUAGCAUAAAUAUCUAGCCUUUAUCAUGUUGAGCCUCCUCAAUAAAUGUUACUUAUUUAGCACGAUCAAGCACUUAUUAUUUUUAUAUUUUUAUUGUAAAAUGAAAACUUAUUUAUUUUAUUUUUAUGCCACCACAGUGAAUGUACUUAUAGGUUUUAUGCCAUGAGCAUACUCACAUGGGGCUUACUAUUUUUUUAACAUUUUUAUUUUCUUUUCAAGAUAGCAUGAACCUGAUUAACUAAGCAAACUAUAAUUGAAUAAUUGAAAGGAAAAGGAUAACUACCAAGUUUACCUCUCGGCAAGGCGUUCGGUGUUUUUAAGUCCUCCGAACGGGACUCCUUGUGUUUUCAGUCAUCCUGGGAAUCGCUAGGUGGCAUAGUCGGUGAUUCCGGCGGCGUCUCUUCUUCGUGUAUAACUAUCUUCUCUCUCCACACCUGACUCGGUGCUACAGUCUCCUCAGGACAAUUCUGUUCAAGCUGUAUGUCUUCAGACCUUACUACUUCUCCUUCGUACUCUAACCAUCCGUCCUUGAUGAUUUGCCUCCUCUAGUUGUGGUUGCGUUGUCUUCUUCUUGUCCUGACCUGCUUAGAGUCUUCAACUAUAUAGUUAGGGUCAGUAAAAUAGCGGCGUAACUUGUCAGAGGGGAAGUACACAUGGACUUUUCCAGUUCCAAUGUAGAUGAUAACUUUGAUAGUGUUGAGGAAUGGUCUUCCAAGGAUGAUGGGUGGAUCGUACUCGUCUUCUCCCAUGUCAAUGAUCUGAAAAUCAUCUGGAGCUGAAUAUAUAUUGGUUGCAGGGGCAUGGUUCCAUGCAGGAGCUGAUAAGUGACUGCGGCCAUUAUGUUGACGUCAGAUCCGGUGUCGUAGAGUGUCUUCUAAAAAGAGUAUCUGUUGAUUGUGCACUCAAUGCUUGGAACACCAGGGUCGUCCUUCUUGAUCAAGAAAGGCGACUUGAGUCGACGAUCUUGACCUCUUUGAACUGCAGUGACCACCUUAGCUGACUCAGUCCACAUUUGCUUGUUCCUGUUCCUCCUGUUGGUCCUCUUCCUUGGUUCAUGUCGGGAUUGCUCUGAAAUUUGUGUAGUCUUGUUCUUGAAGAAAAACGUCUCCUUCUUCCCUUCGAUGUAGAAACUGAUCUUGGCAGCACUGGCGUAGAUGACAGCUCUAGUGUUUAGGAAUGGCCUCCCUAAGAUGAUGGGUGCCCUCUCCUCAGUAUCAGUCUCUAUCACCACGAAGUCUGCUAGAGCGUACAAGAUACCAACUCGGACAUAGAGGUUCCUCAAUAUUUCCUUUGGGAAACUAAGUGUCUGAUCUCCAUUGUGUUUGUGCUCGUAGAUCCCGGUUCUUCACUUGGUGGAAUCUGGGAGUUGUAAAACUCCUCCAUGUUUUGUUUGAAGUGUACCUAUUCAUAGAGACAAGGCAGAGAUCAAGUGCAUGGGCCCUGUUGGUCGAAAACACCAACAGAACCAAACGUGUAUUUGUUCUUCUCUAACCUUAAGCAUAGUGAGCAAGACAAAGUUGAUGGAUCAUGAGUGUAGCAUUUAAAACAUUUGCCAG
This 3983-nucleotide long non-coding RNA is filed under the name Sorghum bicolor (sorghum). RNAcentral's name for it is "long non-coding RNA (SBIC_LNC016277)". Lineage: Eukaryota; Viridiplantae; Streptophyta; Magnoliopsida; Poales; Poaceae. The record is from RNAcentral.